CACAGCUUUGGAACUUGGUGGAAUUCCAGGACCAGAGUGCAGCAGUUGUGCCGCUCAGCUGGGUGGUAGAGGUGGACGGAGAAGUGGGAUGCUACUGGCCACCCUAUAGUGGCCAAAAAGCUGAGAAGGCCGCCAUGAACUCCAUCCCCCCGGGACAAGGAUGGCAAUUCCACCCAAAAAUCAGGGUGCUGACAACCUGUGCCACCUUUGCCAAAGCCAGGUCUUGCCUCAACCGAUCGCUGGAGGAAGGCUGCCUUACAGCAGACCUGCAGUCUGAUGUCCAAACAAAAGGUAUUUUGAGGAGGACAGCGAGGAGGAGGCACAACCAAGGCGUAAGGGGAGGAGGCCACCAUCUAUUGACGCCACUCAGCUGGACAGCGAGUGGCAAUUCCCCUCCCUUAAUGAAGACACCCAGUCAGCCAGUAGACACCCAGCCAGCCAGUUCCUUCACAGCCAGCCAUUAACUCAUGAUUCACUGCCGUCAGAAACCCCACCAGGCCUUGUACUUAACAGCCAGCCACUAACCCAUGCUUCACCUCUGCCGUUGCGACAGGUGAACAAUCAGUUGCUGCGUGAUUUACCGUCGUCAGAAACCCCGCCAGGCCCCCC
Long non-coding RNA from Neoarius graeffei (lesser salmon catfish), 609 nucleotides. RefSeq lists it as uncharacterized. The transcript has 7 exons. Lineage: Eukaryota; Metazoa; Chordata; Actinopteri; Siluriformes; Ariidae. The record is from RefSeq and is a predicted model, not a curated record.